AACGAACGCUGGCGGCAGGCCUAAUACAUGCAAGUCGAGCGGUAGCACAGAGAGCUUGCUCUCGGGUGACGAGCGGCGGACGGGUGAGUAAUGUCUGGGAAACUGCCUGAUGGAGGGGGAUAACUACUGGAAACGGUAGCUAAUACCGCAUAACGUCGCAAGACCAAAGUGGGGGACCUUCGGGCCUCAUGCCAUCAGAUGUGCCCAGAUGGGAUUAGCUAGUAGGUGGGGUAACGGCUCACCUAGGCGACGAUCCCUAGCUGGUCUGAGGGGAUGACCAGCCAAACUGGAACUGAGACACGGUCCAGACUCCUACGGGAGGCAGCAGUGGGGAAUAUUGCACAAUGGGCGCAAGCCUGAUGCAGCCAUGCCGCGUGUGUGAAGAAGGCCUUCGGGUUGUAAAGCACUUUCAGCGGGGAGGAAGGCGUUAAGGUUAAUAACCUUGGCGAUUGACGUUACCCGCAGAAGAAGCACCGGCUAACUCCGUGCCAGCCGCCGCAGUAA
This 504-nucleotide ribosomal RNA is filed under the name uncultured bacterium. RNAcentral's name for it is "partial 16S ribosomal RNA". It matches the Rfam family "Bacterial small subunit ribosomal RNA", at positions 29 to 523 of the family's 1533-position model. The record is from RNAcentral.